UACAGAGGUCUCAAGCGUUGUUCGGAUUCAUUGGGCGUAAAGCGCGCGUAGGCGGCUUUGCAAGUCGGGUGUGAAAUCCCCAGGCUUAACCUGGGAACUGCAUUCGAGACUGCAUUGCUAGAGUAUGGGAGAGGGAAGUGGAAUUUCCGGUGUAGCGGUGAAAUGCGUAGAUAUCGGAAGGAACAUCAGUGGCGAAAGCGACUUCCUGGACCAAUACUGACGCUCAUGUGCGAAAGCGUGGGGAGCAAACAGG
Molecule: ribosomal RNA, 253 nt
Filed under: uncultured bacterium
Lineage: Bacteria
Description: partial 16S ribosomal RNA
Rfam family: Bacterial small subunit ribosomal RNA
Source: RNAcentral